AAGACCUUGCACUUUUGGAGCGGCCGAUGUCUGAUUAGCUAGUUGGUGGGGUAAUGGCCUACCAAAGCUUCGAUCAGUAGCUGGUCUGAGAGGACGGCCAGCCACACUGGGACUGAGACACGGCCCAGACUCCUACGGGAGGCAGCAGUGGGGAAUUUUGGACAAUGGGCGCAAGCCUGAUCCAGCCAUGCCGCGUGAGUGAAGAAGGCCUUCGGGUUGUAAAGCUCUUUCAGCCGGGAAGAAAAGGUUGCGACUAAUAAUCGCAAUCCAUGACGGUACCGAAAGAAGAAGCACCGGCUAACUACGUGCCAGCAGCCGCGGUAAUACGUAGGGUGCGAGCGUUAAUCGGAAUUACUGGGCGUAAAGGGUGCGCAGGCGGUUUUGUAAGUCAGAUGUGAGAUCCCCGGGCUUAACCUGGGAACU
Molecule: ribosomal RNA, 423 nt
Filed under: uncultured bacterium
Lineage: Bacteria
Description: bacterial SSU rRNA
Rfam family: Bacterial small subunit ribosomal RNA
Source: RNAcentral